Molecule: ribosomal RNA, 301 nt
Filed under: uncultured bacterium
Lineage: Bacteria
Description: partial 16S ribosomal RNA
Rfam family: Bacterial small subunit ribosomal RNA
Source: RNAcentral
CAGCAGCCGCGGGAAUACGAAGGGGGCUAGCGUUGUUCGGAUUUACUGGGCGUAAGCGCACGUAGGCGGAUCGAUCAGUCAGGGGUGAAAUCCCAGAGCUCAACUCUGGAACUGCCUUUGAUACUGUCGAUCUGGAGUAUGGAAGAGGUGAGUGGAAUUCCGAGUGUAGAGGUGAAAUUCGUAGAUAUUCGAAGGAACACCAGUGGCGAAGGCGGCUCACUGGUCCAUUACUGACGCUGAGGUGCGAAAGCGUGGGGAGCAAACAGGAUUAGAGACCCCAGUAGUCCCUGUCUCUUAUACA